RNAcentral lists this ribosomal RNA (253 nucleotides) under uncultured bacterium. RNAcentral's name for it is "partial 16S ribosomal RNA". It matches the Rfam family "Bacterial small subunit ribosomal RNA", at positions 524 to 776 of the family's 1533-position model. The record is from RNAcentral.
GACAGAGGUGCCAAGCGUUAGGCGGAAUCACUGGGCUUAAAGCGUGUGUAGGCGGAUCGUUAAGUGCUUUGUGAAAUCUCCCGGCUUAACUGGGAGGGUGCGGCGAAAACUGGAAUGCUAGAGGAUGGGAGAGGUAAGCGGAAUUCCUGGUGUAGCGGUGAAAUGCGUAGAUAUCAGGAGGAACACCUGUGGUGUAGACAGCUUACUGGACCAUUUCUGACGCUGAGACACGAAAGCGUGGGUAGCAAACAGG